AAUCUUCUUUCUUUCCUUCAUAGUACCUUUCUGUUGUUUUAGUCCUUCCAUGAUUAUCAUACCUUUGUUGUAAUGCCUUUCCAAUUGUAUUGAUCUGCCAGUUUGCUGUAAAUGGUGUGUCCCCUGCAGUGUGGUUGAGGAAGCACUGGGAAGAGGAGCUGCUGCCUUUUGGUCUCUGAAAGACAAGAAGAAAAGAAAUAAAGAUGAACAAGAAGGUUGGAAGAAUGAGUGAAGAUGGAAGACCGCACAGAAACUGUUUCUCAUUAUCCCUUGUUGGAGACUACUCCCCUUCACCUGCUGGGUGCAGAAGUAUGAUGGAGAAGAUCAGUAAUUUCACCUGCAUGUGCCAGCAGGGUUCAUAAAACAAUUGCACAGAGCUAGAAGAUCUGAGCCCUCCUCUGGUGAGGUAUGGAAAUAAUGCCUUCCUUAGUGGGCCUAACUGUUAGUAGAAAAGCAGUUACGAAUGGUCUCCAAACAAAACCUCCAGAUUCCAAGACAUAACUAAAGCCCCACUGAAGUGUCUGUCAUGCAAACAGCAACCCCAUUCCUUGCUCAGGACUUGCAGCUCCUGCUGUAGAUGGUAUAGCUCUAAAUUCAUACUAGUUUCAGAUGCUUCCCAAUAGGUUUUGUCUUGAGUGAUGCAGCAUAAAGUUGUUUGUACUACUGAUAUAUACACUGUAAGUGGAGGUACAAGCUAGAAUCGUUAUACUGCUUCAUUGAAGUAGGAACAUCAAAUGGGUUCACAGUCUCCUGGUAUACUGUUCAUACAUAUUAUGGGGCCGUUAGCUUCCAUAAUUAAGCCCUGUUUUCCCUGUAUGUGCAGGAAAGGUAGGAGUUGAUAAUUGGUUAUCUAAAAGGGACAUUUCAUAUUGUGUAUCUUAAUACAUAAGAUACUUUUUGAGGCUUUCACAAACCUAAAUACAGACAAAAUGCCUACAUAUGAAUGCUACUAUAUUGUUUGGAAUACUUUGAUAUUUUUUCCUGUAAAUCAGCCUCUUGUAUUUUAUUCAUGUGAAAUAACAGUUCAGUAUUCUGUAAACUAUUCCAUUGUGUAUUCUAACUGGUCAGUAUUCCUGAAAUACACAGGUAUCAAAUUCUUUAUGCAUCUUUUUCUAAUAUGGAGUAAAUCCUUAUGAUGCCUUCCUUUGUGUUUUUGGAAAUGAUAUAAUGUGGUGUACAAGUGUAAUUAUCCACCUUAGACUUUUCUGAAUUGUAGUUUUGUUUGUUUUUGAGGAGAAUCAGUUGGUAUGGAGCUUAGAGAACCACUUAAGAUUGGAAUGGUUUCUAAUGAACAGAUUUUCUGAUGCAAAUGGAAAGUAAAGUUGAGAGAUUUUUUUUAAUAUGCAGACUAAUACAGCUGUAGGUCACAACAGACUUGGUCCUUUUUUGGGUGUUUCCAGGCUGCCCUACUCAAGGGCAUGAGGCUUCAGCCUAUCAGCAAGAAAAAAUGAGAUGCUAACUUGCCAAAUAUAGGGAAAUGAAUAAAUAGAACAAUAAAAGUCAGUAAAGUAGGAAAUCUCAUGCAGUGUGAAUGAUUUCCUACAUCGU
Long non-coding RNA from Gallus gallus (chicken), 1548 nucleotides. Lineage: Eukaryota; Metazoa; Chordata; Aves; Galliformes; Phasianidae. The record is from Ensembl.